Molecule: long non-coding RNA, 1169 nt
Organism: Zalophus californianus (California sea lion)
Lineage: Eukaryota; Metazoa; Chordata; Mammalia; Carnivora; Otariidae
Exons: 3
Source: RefSeq, a predicted model, not a curated record
GCGCUUCCUUCCCGGCGCGUCUGGCAGACGGCCCGCGGGCGGCUGUGGGCGGGAGCCAGCGGCCAGGGGACCCGCUGCCAAGGAGGGGGCGGCCGGCGGCGCUGGGAACGCGCGGCCUGGCCUCCUCGCGGCCGGGCCUGGCUGAGGAACCGGCAAGUCCUUACAGGCCUUCCCUGCAACACCUCCAGGGACUUAAACCUGACCCAGCCACGUUACCCUGAUCUGUCUGCCUGGUGAUGAGCAAAGGUCAGAGAGAGGGACCAGACCUCAGCAGACCAAACCAGCAGCAGCUCCUGAACUCCCACCCCCCAGCUCUUCCAGAAGUGCAACAUGUCAUCACCAUACAGGCUUUCUUCUGGACCGACCGGAGACCUUAGAGGAUCAAAUGAAAAUGUGAAAACAGAAGAGCACAGGCCCAAUAUCCCCAAGUUAACUGCAUGACAAGAGGCAGUUGUCAGGCAUCCGAAAAUGUCAAGUCCUCUGAAAUGGAUAGGAAGGAUGGUGACAAAAGACAAAGCAUACACUGGAUGAAAACUUCACGUCUGAAAAUUGCUGUUAAAGAUAUAGAACGACUUGGAGGGUGAAAAAAAAAAGAACAAACACAUGAAUACUUAUAAGGCACCCAUUACAUACAAAUUAAGUAGAUGAAAGAGAAAGGGAUGGAUUAAAACACAGAAAAUGUGAUCAAUGUAUAAUGUGUAAGAAUCAGAUCUGUUUUCAUCUUUAUAUCUAUGAAAAUGAUAAUGAAAUUAUGGCUCUUAAACUCAAUUAUGUUUGGGGGAGGUGAGAAAAAAGCAAAAAAUAAAAUUACUUAAUUUUCCUUCACUUAGAGUCAAAGGAAGAAAAGGUUUCUGUUCAGAAAUCGACAAAAAUAAGAAAAAAGGGAAGUUUCCAUCUUAACAGACAGCAGGCAAGCGUUUAGUGUGUCCAUCCGGUGGCUUAAGAUAAAGCUGUUAACCAAAGGGAGCCUUCAUGCUCUUUGAGGAAAGUGCCCACAAGAAACCUAAUUUCCAACCUGUUGGAAAGAAGAAACUUGAACCCCUCUAAUCCCUUCUCCCCCUCAUUAAGGUAAGAGGCUGCUGAAGAAUUAAGAGAUACCUAUAGAAUGUAUCCUAUGAGAAGGUUCUAUUCUGAGAUCCCUAGAGAAUUCACUGGACUCUGAAGAAAUU